AGGGUUUGAUUAUGGCUCAGAGUGAACGCUGGCGGCGUGCUUAACACAUGCAAGUCGAACGAGAACGGAUUAUAGCUUGCUGUAAUUGUCAGCUAAGUGGCGCACGGGUGAGUAAUGCAUAGGUAAUAUGCCUCUUACUAAGGGAUAACAAUUGGAAACGAUUGCUAAUACCUUAUACUCCUUGUUGACUUAAGUUAAUAAGGGAAAGAUUUAUUGGUAAGAGAUUAGCCUGUAUUGUAUCAGUUAGUUGGUGGGGUAAUGGCCUACCAAGACUAUGACACACAUUAAGUGUACCGCCUGGGGAGUACGGUCGCAAGAUUAAAACUCAAAGGAAUAGACGGGGACCCGCACAAGCGGUGGAGCAUGUGGUUUAAUUCGACGAUACACGAAGAACCUUACCUGGACUUGACAUAGUAAGAACUUUCUAGAGAUAGAUUGGUGUCUGCUUGCAGAAACUUAUAUACAGGUGCUGCACGGCUGUCGUCAGCUCGUGUCGUGAGAUGUUGGGUUAAGUCCCGCAACGAGCGCAACCCUCGUGUUUAGUUGCUAACAGUUCGGCUGAGAACUCUAAACAGACUGCCUACGCAAGUAGGAGGAAGGUGAGGACGACGUCAAGUCAUCAUGGCCCUUACGUCCAGGGCUACACACGUGCUACAAUGGGAUAUACAAAGAGCGGCAAUACGGUGACGUGGAGCAAAUCUUAUAAAAUAUCUCCCAGUUCGGAUUGUAGUCUGCAACUCGACUACAUGAAGUUGGAAUCGCUAGUAAUCGUAGAUCAGCUAUGCUACGGUGAAUACGUUCCCGGGUCUUGUACUCACCGCCCGUCACACCAUGGGAGUCGAACUCAUUCGAAGCGGGGAUGCUAAAAUAGCUACCUUCCACAGUGGAUUUGGCGACUGGGGUGAAGUCGUAACAAGGUAACCGUAGGAGAACCUGCGGUUGGAUCACCUCCUUUCU
Molecule: ribosomal RNA, 957 nt
Filed under: uncultured bacterium
Lineage: Bacteria
Description: 16S ribosomal RNA
Rfam family: Bacterial small subunit ribosomal RNA
Source: RNAcentral